CGUUGUGGGAUGGUGGCUUGAUGUCCCAUGGGGUGGUGGCAUCGUGGUGUGUCCCAUGGGGUGGUGGCAUCGUGGUGUGUCCCAUGGGGCGGUGGCAUCAUGUCCCAUGGGGUGGUGGCAUUGCGUUGUGGGAUGGUGGCUUGAUGUCCCAUGGGGCGGUGGCCCUGUCCCAUGGGGUGGUGGCAUUGUGGUGUGUCCCAUGGGGCGGUGGCAUCAUGUCCCAUGGUGUGG
This 231-nucleotide long non-coding RNA is filed under the name Numida meleagris (helmeted guineafowl). RNAcentral's name for it is "lncRNA (ENSNMEG00000002024.1)". The record is from RNAcentral. Lineage: Eukaryota; Metazoa; Chordata; Aves; Galliformes; Numididae.